UGAGAGGAGCUGCCCCUAGUACGAGAGGACCGGGGUGGACGGACCACUGGUGUAUCAGCUGUCGACCAACGGCAUAGCUGAGUAGCCAAGUCUGGACGGGAUAAACGCUGAAGGCAUCUAAGCGUGAAGCCCCCCUCAAGAUGAGAUAUCCCCUCCUUCAAGGAGAUAAGAUCCCUUAAAGACGAUAAGGUAGAUAGGUUCAAGGUGUAAGUGCGGUAACGCAUUCAGCUGAUGAAUACUAAUAGAUCGAAGGUUUAUUCUA
RNAcentral lists this ribosomal RNA (262 nucleotides) under Pseudobutyrivibrio sp. 49. RNAcentral describes it as "23S rRNA. Bacterial LSU". It matches the Rfam family "Bacterial large subunit ribosomal RNA", at positions 2663 to 2925 of the family's 2925-position model. Lineage: Bacteria; Bacillati; Bacillota; Clostridia; Lachnospirales; Lachnospiraceae. The record is from RNAcentral.